UCUCUCCUCUGUUAAGACCCUGUGAAAAAAUAAGGAGAGGAAGAAGGCAAUCAAAGCAAAGACAUCAAGAGUUUAGCAGUUCUCUGUGAAAAUGUCCCAGAUCUUCAGAGGUUGAUAGAUCAGCUGCAUCUGACUUUAUUGGAGAGCUUUACUUUUAACAUCAAGGUGAUCAAGACACUUAGGUGUCAGGUGUUUGUGGUUUUUUUUCUGACACACUAGUGCUGCGCUGUACUUUACUGGGAAUUUUUAACUGUGGAGAAAAUGUCAAAUAAGAUUACCUUCAAGACACACAAAAAUGGGUCUCAGCUACUCUGAGCUUCUGCUCAUCAUUUGUUGUCUCAGAUAAUAGAAGGAGAGGGUACCAUGAAAUAUUGGAAUACAUACUAAUAAUGCUAUAGGUUUCUGUCAUGGAUGGCAGCUUUCAAUCACCCUGACAAGUAGAGCACCUUGGUUAUUUUUUUUCUUGACACUUUAAAGGAUGCCACCUGGGAUAAGUUUCAAUCGUGUUCAAUUAGUCCACUAGAUGGAGCAUCUAGCAUUUCCAGGAAAAAGGGGAAAAAAGGUAUUUAAGAUGCUAAUUUUAAUAAAUAUAUGUUAAAACCACUGAAAGUUUGGGAGUAAAGAAACUAAAUCACAAUUUCAACUAAUGUUUACAAGGCAGUCUUUGAUUCAGCCUCAUUUACCAAAAUAACUCAAUUUGAAGAAUGAUUUCAAUAUUAAAAAAAAAUUAAAUAAAUUUUUAAAAAUCCACAAACAAAAGCAGAAGGAGGGGGGCAGAAGAAGAGGAAUGUUUUCAAGAUUCUCCAGUAAGUAAGAUUUCAGUGCUUUCUUUCAUUCUUUCAGAUUUCAUAUGUUUUGAUUUAUAUAAGCAGCCUGCAGAAAUCUUUGGAGGACAGUUUAUAUUAAUGCUGCAAAAGAGUAAUUUCUGUGGAGAAGAAAAAGAAAUUAUAAUGAAGCCUGUGUAGACUACUGUGAGUGAGAAAAAGGGGAAAUAUGAAAGAUACACUUCAGUGAAAGGGAAACAGCAGUGGAUAUUGUACUGCCAUAGGAAGGCUGUGAAAAUCAGGCAGGAGCUCCAAAGCGUUCUUUCAGUUCAGUGAGCAGUGAGAAAGUAAAGCCUGAGCGGCUGUGAGUUCCGAGGUAGUAGGUCAGCGCUGAUCUGCUCAAUCCACGGGCUUGGCACACCAAUGAUAUGCAUCAUUUGGGAUGUUGAAAUCAAUAGGACGUUAAGUAAGAGCUCCCUUAGUGCCCCUACCUUCUUUCCCUUACCCCUAGACAGAAGGCAUUUAUUUUCAGCAGCUAAAUAAGAAUGGAUUUCUUAAAACCUGGCUUUUGGCCAGGUUAAUUUAUGCAUACGCAAACUUAUGCUUCACCAAUUUACUAAAACCCAUCAUUUAAGGCUGUUCAAACGUGCAGCUGUUUAAAUGAGGUUGGAAGCAAUUUCACCACAUGAUGCUGAUGUCAGUAAAAGCUGAGUAUUAGCAAAAUGGGAAGGCAUCAAUGGAGUGUGUCUCCUACAGUGAUCUGUGUUCCCCUGUGUCUAAUGGAUCAGGGAGACAGACAUGCCUAGCUCAUCGUCCUGUAAAGUUAAAUUCAGAUCUAUUACCUAUUACAGACAUGUAUGUAUACGAGGGCAAGCAUUUUAAGUAGAAUGAGAAUUGUUUUGGUUCUGGCAAAAAUCCAGGGUGAGUCUGAAUGGAGACUUUCAGGAAAAACAGGAUGCAAAACUGCCAAGUGUGAAAAUGGCUACAAGUGAUAGUUUAUGUGGGGAAAAAAAAAUAAAAUUAAAAGCAAUCAGAAAUCUAGAUAUAUCUAUCAGAAAACGUACAUAAAAUGCAUUUCCCAGGGUGUGAUCCCAUGAAAAGAGAAUGUCAUGUUGUAUAAAAGCUCUGAGUAAGAUCUACAUCAGUUCUGGAUACUAAUUAUCAACUUCAUGUGCUGAUGAAAAUGUAAAUCUCUUUUAGAUGAAACAAAGUGCUCAGAAAUAAUUAUAAACUGCUCUGAAUUAUGCAGAUAAAUGGUUAUUCCACGCAAAAGUUUGUUCAUCUGAAAAUGGGCCUGCUUCACUCUGAAUCAUACAAAGAAAUCUUCUUUUUCUAUGUUGGUUAUAACUACGGCAGAUUUUGAUUUCUAUUCCACAUGUUUUUUAAGUGUGAAGAGACAGACACAAAGGCAUAAGAUUUUUUUCUUUUCAAAAUAUAAAGAAAAACUCCAUGAAAGAUCUCUGUUUAAUUGUCCUUAUGGGCAAAUAACAGACAAAAACAGAAC
Molecule: non-coding RNA, 2268 nt
Organism: Taeniopygia guttata (zebra finch)
Lineage: Eukaryota; Metazoa; Chordata; Aves; Passeriformes; Estrildidae
Source: RefSeq, a predicted model, not a curated record